RNAcentral lists this ribosomal RNA (465 nucleotides) under uncultured bacterium. Its description in RNAcentral is "partial 16S ribosomal RNA". It matches the Rfam family "Bacterial small subunit ribosomal RNA", at positions 28 to 507 of the family's 1533-position model. The record is from RNAcentral.
GACGAACGCUGGCGGCGUGCUUAACACAUGCAAGUCGAACGGAAAGGCCCUGCUUGCACGGUACUCGAGUGGCAAACGGGUGAGUAACACGUGGGUGAUCUGCCCUGCACAUCGGGCUACGCCUGCGAAACUGGGUCUAUUACCGGCUAGGAGCCAUCUGUAGUGUGAUGGUUGGAAAGUUUUUUCGGUGUAGGAUGAGCUCGCGGCCUAUCAGCUUGUUGGUGCGGUAAUGGCCUACCAAGGCGGCGACGGGUAGCCGGCCUGAGAGGCUGGACGGCCACAUUGGGACUGAGAUACGGCCCAGACUCCGCCGGGAGGCAGCAGUGGGGAAUAUUGCACAAUGGGCGCAAGCCUGAUGCAGUGACGCCGCGUGGGGGAUGACGGCCUUAGGGUGGUAACCUCCUUUCGCUAGGGACGAAGCUUUUUGUGACGGUACCUAGAGAAGAAGCACCGGCUAACUACGUG